RNAcentral lists this ribosomal RNA (468 nucleotides) under uncultured bacterium. RNAcentral's name for it is "partial 16S ribosomal RNA". It matches the Rfam family "Bacterial small subunit ribosomal RNA", at positions 28 to 523 of the family's 1533-position model. The record is from RNAcentral.
GAUGAACGCUGGCGGCGUGCCUAACACAUGCAAGUCGAGCGAUUCUCUUCGGAGAAGAGCGGCGGACGGGUGAGUAGCGCGUGGGUAACCUGCCCUGUACACACGGAUAACAUACCGAAAGGUAUGCUAAUACGAGAUAAUAUGCUUUUAUCGCAUGGUAGAAGUAUCAAAGCUUUUACGGUACAGGAUGGACCCGCGUCUGAUUAGCUAGUUGGUAAGGUAACGGCUUACCAAGGCGACGAUCAGUAGCCGACCUGAGAGGGUGAUCGGCCACAUUGGAACUGAGACACGGUCCAAACUCCUACGGGAGGCAGCAGUGGGGAAUAUUGCACAAUGGGCGAAAGCCUGAUGCAGCAACGCCGCGUGAGCGAUGAAGGCCUUCGGGUCGUAAAGCUCUGUCCUCAAGGAAGAUAAUGACGGUACUUGAGGAGGAAGCCCCGGCUAACUACGUGCCAGCAGCCGCCGUAA